Molecule: ribosomal RNA, 253 nt
Filed under: uncultured bacterium
Lineage: Bacteria
Description: partial 16S ribosomal RNA
Rfam family: Bacterial small subunit ribosomal RNA
Source: RNAcentral
UACGGAGGGAGCUAGCGUUGUUCGGAAUUACUGGGCGUAAAGCGCGCGUAGGCGGCUUUGUAAGUUAGAGGUGAAAGCCCAGGGCUCAACCCCGGAAUUGCCUUUAAGACUGCAUCGCUUGAAUCCGGGAGAGGUGAGUGGAAUUCCGAGUGUAGAGGUGAAAUUCGUAGAUAUUCGGAAGAACACCAGUGGCGAAGGCGGCUCACUGGACCGGUAUUGACGCUGAGGUGCGAAAGCGUGGGGAGCAAACAGG